RNAcentral lists this ribosomal RNA (480 nucleotides) under uncultured bacterium. Its description in RNAcentral is "partial 16S ribosomal RNA". It matches the Rfam family "Bacterial small subunit ribosomal RNA", at positions 28 to 507 of the family's 1533-position model. The record is from RNAcentral.
GACGAACGCUGGCGGCGUGCUUAACACAUGCAGGUCGAGCGAGCAAACUUUAACAGAACCCUUCGGUCGGAUGACAAACGGGUUUAGCGGCGGACGGGUGAGUAACAUGUCAGUAAGCAGCCUUAGACAUUGCUAUAGCCUCUGGCAACCGGGAUCUAUUCCAAAUAAAAUCAUAAUGACACAUGUCAUUAGGUUGAAAGCUACGGUGGUCUUAGAUAGAGUCGCGUUCGAUUAGUGAGUUGGUAGAGUAAAAGCCCACCAAGGCGACGAUGGGUGGCCGGGCUGAGAGGAUGAUCCGCCACAAUGGAAAUGAGACACAGACCAAAAUCCUACGGGAGGGAGCAGUGGGGAAUAUUGGACAAUGGAGGCAACUCUGAUGCAGCGACGCCGCGUGAGCGAGGAAGGCUUUAGAGUCGUAAAGUUCUUUUAUAUGGGACGAUAAUGACGGUACCGGAAGAAGAAGCCCCGGCUAACUACGUG